RNAcentral lists this ribosomal RNA (250 nucleotides) under uncultured prokaryote. RNAcentral's name for it is "partial 16S ribosomal RNA". It matches the Rfam family "Bacterial small subunit ribosomal RNA", at positions 524 to 773 of the family's 1533-position model. The record is from RNAcentral.
UACGUAGGGGGCAAGCGUUAUCCGGAUUUACUGGGUGUAAAGGGAGCGCAGGCGGCAAGGCAAGUCUGAUGUGAAAGCCCGGGGCUCAACCCCGGGACGGCAUUGGAAACUGUCAAGCUAGAGUGUCGGAGAGGUAAGUGGAAUUCCUAGUGUAGCGGUGAAAUGCGUAGAUAUUAGGAGGAACACCAGUGGCGAAGGCGGCUUACUGGACGACAACUGACGCUGAGGCUCGAAAGCGUGGGGAGCAAAC